Molecule: ribosomal RNA, 466 nt
Filed under: uncultured Brevundimonas sp.
Lineage: Bacteria; Pseudomonadati; Pseudomonadota; Alphaproteobacteria; Caulobacterales; Caulobacteraceae
Description: bacterial SSU rRNA
Rfam family: Bacterial small subunit ribosomal RNA
Source: RNAcentral
UGAUCCUGGCUCAGAUUGAAUUCUAGCGGGAUGCCUUACACAUACAGAGUUUGAUCCUGGCUCAGAGCGAACGCUGGCGGCAGGCGUAACACAUGCAAGUCGAACGGACCCUUCGGGGUUAGUGGCGGACGGGUGAGUAACACGUGGGAACGUGCCUUUAGGUUCGGAAUAGCUCCNGGAAACGGGUGGUAAUGCCGAAUGUGCCCUUCGGGGGAAAGAUUUAUCGCCUUUAGAGCGGCCCGCGUCUGAUUAGCUAGUUGGUGAGGUAAUGGCUCACCAAGGCGACGAUCAGUAGCUGGUCUGAGAGGAUGACCAGCCACACUGGGACUGAGACACGGCCCAGACUCCUACGGGAGGCAGCAGUGGGGAAUCUUGCGCAAUGGGCGAAAGCCUGACGCAGCCAUGCCGCGUGAAUGAUGAAGGUCUUAGGAUUGUAAAAUUCUUCACCGGGGACGAUAAUGACGUA